AUGACCAGCCACACUGGAACUGAGACACGGUCCAGACUCCUACGGGAGGCAGCAGUGGGGAAUAUUGCACAAUGGGCGCAAGCCUGAUGCAGCCAUGCCGCGUGUGUGAAGAAGGCCUUCGGGUUGUAAAGCACUUUCAGCGGGGAGGAAGGCGGUGAGGUUAAUAACCUCAUCGAUUGACGUUACCCGCAGAAGAAGCACCGGCUAACUCCGUGCCAGCAGCCGCGGUAAUACGGAGGGUGCAAGCGUUAAUCGGAAUUACUGGGCGUAAAGCGCACGCAGGCGGUCUGUCAAGUCGGAUGUGAAAUCCC
RNAcentral lists this ribosomal RNA (311 nucleotides) under Klebsiella pneumoniae. RNAcentral describes it as "bacterial SSU rRNA". It matches the Rfam family "Bacterial small subunit ribosomal RNA", at positions 300 to 603 of the family's 1533-position model. The record is from RNAcentral. Lineage: Bacteria; Pseudomonadati; Pseudomonadota; Gammaproteobacteria; Enterobacterales; Enterobacteriaceae.